Molecule: transfer RNA, 69 nt
Filed under: Florometra sp. BMK-2020
Lineage: Eukaryota; Metazoa; Echinodermata; Crinoidea; Comatulida; Antedonidae
Description: tRNA-Gly
Rfam family: tRNA
About the family: Transfer RNA (tRNA) molecules are approximately 80 nucleotides in length. Their secondary structure includes four short double-helical elements and three loops (D, anti-codon, and T loops). Further hydrogen bonds mediate the characteristic L-shaped molecular structure. tRNAs have two regions of fundamental functional importance: the anti-codon, which is responsible for specific mRNA codon recognition, and the 3' end, to which the tRNAs corresponding amino acid is attached (by aminoacyl-tRNA synthetases). tRNAs cope with the degeneracy of the genetic code in two manners: having more than one tRNA (with a specific anti-codon) for a particular amino acid; and 'wobble' base-pairing, i.e. permitting non-standard base-pairing at the 3rd anti-codon position.
Source: RNAcentral
AUUUUGUAAGUAUAAACAAGUACAUUUGACUUCCAAUCAUAAAGACUUAGAUUAAACUAAGACAAAAUA